This 466-nucleotide ribosomal RNA is filed under the name uncultured bacterium. Its description in RNAcentral is "bacterial SSU rRNA". It matches the Rfam family "Bacterial small subunit ribosomal RNA", at positions 329 to 793 of the family's 1533-position model. The record is from RNAcentral.
UUCCAGACUCCUACGGGAGGCAGCAGUGAGGAAUAUUGGUCAAUGGGCUUACGCCUGAACCAGCCAAGUCGCGUGAGGGAAGACUGCCCUAUGGGUUGUAAACCUCUUUUGCCGGGGAGCAAAAAGCGGUACGUGUACCGCAUCGAGAGUACCCGGAGAAAAAGCAUCGGCUAACUCCGUGCCAGCAGCCGCGGUAAUACGGAGGAUGCGAGCGUUAUCCGGAUUUAUUGGGUUUAAAGGGUGCGCAGGCGGAUUUUUAAGUCAGCGGUCAAAUCGUGGGGCUCAACCCCAUCCAGCCGUUGAAACUGGGGAUCUAGAGUGUGCGAGAGGUAUGCGGAAUGCGUGGUGUAGCGGUGAAAUGCAUAGAUAUCACGCAGAACCCCGAUUGCGAAGGCAGCAUACCGGCGCGCAACUGACGCUCAGGCACGAAAGCGUGGGUAUCGAACAGGAUUAGAUACCCCCGUAA